CCUACGGGGUGCAGCAGUGAGGAAUAUUGGUCAAUGGACGAGAGUCUGAACCAGCCAAGUAGCGUGAAGGAUGACUGCCCUAUGGGUUGUAAACUUCUUUUAUAUGGGAAUAAAAUGUUCCAUGUGUGGGAUUUUGUAUGUACCAUAUGAAUAAGGAUCGGCUAACUCCGUGCCAGCAGCCGCGGUAAUACGGAGGAUCCGAGCGUUAUCCGGAUUUAUUGGGUUUAAAGGGAGCGUAGGUGGAUUGUUAAGUCAGUUGUGAAAGUUUGCGGCUCAACCGUAAAAUUGCAGUUGAAACUGGCAGUCUUGAGUACAGUAGAGGUGGGCGGAAUUCGUGGUGUAGCGGUGAAAUGCUUAGAUAUCACGAAGAACUCCGAUUGCGAAGGCAGUUCACUGGACUGCAACUGACACUGAGGCUCGAAAGUGUGGGUAUCAAACAGGAUUAGAUACCCGUGUAGUC
RNAcentral lists this ribosomal RNA (460 nucleotides) under uncultured bacterium. RNAcentral's name for it is "partial 16S ribosomal RNA". It matches the Rfam family "Bacterial small subunit ribosomal RNA", at positions 338 to 795 of the family's 1533-position model. The record is from RNAcentral.